UGUAUGUUAGGUUGAGACAUAGUGUGAGCUGUAGGUUAGGUUGAGACAGUGUGAGCUGUAGGUUAGGUUGAGACAUAGUGUGAGCUGUAUGUUAGGUUGAGACAGUGUGAGCUGUAUGUUAGGUUGAGACAUAGUGUGAGCUGUAGGUUAGGUUGAGACAUAGUGUGAGCUGUAUGUUAGGUUGAGACAGUGUGAGCUGUAUGUUAGGUUGAGACAUAG
Molecule: long non-coding RNA, 219 nt
Organism: Oncorhynchus keta (chum salmon)
Lineage: Eukaryota; Metazoa; Chordata; Actinopteri; Salmoniformes; Salmonidae
Exons: 3
Source: RefSeq, a predicted model, not a curated record